UAGGACGAACGCUGGCGGCGUGCUUAACACAUGCAAGUCGAACGGAAAGGCCCUGCUUUUGUGGGGUGCUCGAGUGGCGAACGGGUGAGUAACACGUGAGUAACCUGCCCUUGACUUUGGGAUAACUUCAGGAAACUGGGGCUAAUACCGGAUAGGAGCUCCUGCUGCAUGGUGGGGGUUGGAAAGUUUCGGCGGUUGGGGAUGGACUCGCGGCUUAUCAGCUUGUUGGUGGGGUAGUGGCUUACCAAGGCUUUGACGGGUAGCCGGCCUGAGAGGGUGACCGGCCACAUUGGGACUGAGAUACGGCCCAGACUCCUACGGGAGGCAGCAGUGGGGAAUAUUGCACAAUGGGCGGAAGCCUGAUGCAGCAACGCCGCGUGCGGGAUGACGGCCUUCGGGUUGUAAACCGCUUUCGCCUGUGACGAAGCGUGAGUGACGGUAAUGGGUAAAGAAGCACCGGCUAACUACGUGCCAGCAGCCGCGGUGAUACGUAGGGUGCGAGCGUUGUCCGGAUUUAUUGGGCGUAAAGGGCUCGUAGGUGGUUGAUCGCGUCGGAAGUGUAAUCUUGGGGCUUAACCCUGAGCGUGCUUUCGAUACGGGUUGACUUGAGGAAGGUAGGGGAGAAUGGAAUUCCUGGUGGAGCGGUGGAAUGCGCAGAUAUCAGGAGGAACACCAGUGGCGAAGGCGGUUCUCUGGGCCUUUCCUGACGCUGAGGAGCGAAAGCGUGGGGAGCGAACAGGCUUAGAUACCCUGGUAGUCCACGCUGUAAACGGUGGGUACUAGGUGUGGGGUCCAUUCCACGGGUUCCGUGCCGUAGCUAACGCUUUAAGUACCCCGCCUGGGGAGUACGGCCGCAGGGCUAAAACUCAAAGGAAUUGACGGGGCCCCGCACAAGCGGCGGAGCAUGCGGAUUAAUUCGAUGCAACGCGUAGAACCUUACCUGGGUUUGACAUGGAUCGGGAGUGCUCAGAGAUGGGUGUGCCUCUUUUGGGGUCGGUUCACAGGUGGUGCAUGGCUGUCGUCAGCUCGUGUCGUGAGAUGUUGGGUUAAGUCCCGCAACGAGCGCAACCCUUGUUCACUGUUGCCAGCACGUUAUGGUGGGGACUCAGUGGAGACCGCCGGGGUCAACUCGGAGGAAGGUGGGGAUGACGUCAAGUCAUCAUGCCCCUUAUGUCCAGGGCUUCACGCAUGCUACAAUGGCUGGUACAGAGAGUGGCGAGCCUGUGAGGGUGAGCGAAUCUCGGAAAGCCGGUCUCAGUUCGGAUUGGGGUCUGCAACUCGACCUCAUGAAGUCGGAGUCGCUAGUAAUCGCAGAUCAGCAACGCUGCGGUGAAUACGUUCCCGGGGCUUGUACACACCGCCCGUCAAGUCAUGAAAGUUGGUAACACCCGAAGCCGGUGGCCUAACCGUCGUGGGGGAGCCGUCGGAGGUG
RNAcentral lists this ribosomal RNA (1432 nucleotides) under uncultured organism. Its description in RNAcentral is "SSU rRNA". It matches the Rfam family "Bacterial small subunit ribosomal RNA". The record is from RNAcentral.